AGAGUUUGAUCCUGGCUCAGGAUGAACGCUAGCGACAGGCCUAACACAUGCAAGUCGAGGGGCAGCGCGAUGGUAGCAAUACCGUUGGCGGCGACCGGCGCACGGGUGCGUAACAGGUGUGCAAUCUGUCCAUAUCCGGGGGAUAGCCCAGCGAAAGUUGGAUUAAAACUCCAUGUGUAAUGAAGAGGCAUCUCUUUAUUAUGAAACGUAAGGGAUAUGGGUGAGCACGCUUCUGAUUAGAUAGUUGGUGAGGUAACGGCUCACCAAGUCGACGAUCAGUAGGGGUUCUGAGAGGAAGGUCCCCCACAUUGGAACUGAGACACGGUCCAAACUCCUACGGGAGGCAGCAGUGAGGAAUAUUGGUCAAUGGACGGAAGUCUGAACCAGCCAAGUCGCGUGAAGGAAGACGGUUCUAUGGAUUGUAAACUUCUUUUGUCCGAGGGUAAAGUGAGAGAUGCGUCUCUUAUUGCAAGUAUCGGACGAAUAAGCAUCGGCUAACUCCGUGCCAGCAGCCGCGGUAAUACGGAGGAUGCGAGCGUUAUCCGGAUUUAUUGGGUUUAAAGGGUGCGUAGGCGGAUGAUUAAGUCUGUGGUGAAAGCGUGCGGCUCAACCGUACCGAGCCAUGGAAACUGGUUGUCUUGAGUGUAAACGAGGUAGGCGGAAUGUGACAUGUAGCGGUGAAAUGCUUAGAUAUGUCACAGAACUCCGAUUGCGAAGGCAGCUUACCAGCAUACAACUGACGCUGAGGCACGAAAGCGUGGGUAUCAAACAGGAUUAGAUACCCUGGUAGUCCACGCAGUAAACGAUGAAUACUAGCUGUUGGCGAUAUAUGGUCAGCGGUACAGCGAAAGUGUU
Molecule: ribosomal RNA, 855 nt
Filed under: uncultured bacterium
Lineage: Bacteria
Description: bacterial SSU rRNA
Rfam family: Bacterial small subunit ribosomal RNA
Source: RNAcentral